Long non-coding RNA from Saccostrea echinata, 212 nucleotides. RefSeq lists it as uncharacterized. The transcript is spliced from 3 exons. The record is from RefSeq and is a predicted model, not a curated record. NCBI's taxonomy places the organism in Eukaryota, Metazoa, Mollusca, Bivalvia, Ostreida, Ostreidae.
AACUGGUUAAAACUGGCAUUUACAUCAGCUAGAACUAUCAAAGUAGAUGCAUCAAUUUCUCCACUGGCUACUCCCAAACAAUUUGAACAAUUCAUUCAGGCAGCAAGUGUUUCCACCAAUAAAAUAAAAAGAAUUGAUUUCAUCCAGAAGAACUGUUUUUGAACUGUGGACUGUUUGAAAUAUUUUGCACCUGCUCAGAUAUCCCUUCACAG